Molecule: long non-coding RNA, 699 nt
Organism: Quercus robur (English oak)
Lineage: Eukaryota; Viridiplantae; Streptophyta; Magnoliopsida; Fagales; Fagaceae
Exons: 2
Source: RefSeq, a predicted model, not a curated record
UUGAAAUAAUAAAAGACAUAAAUUUAGCAUUUAAUUAAAUAGAUGGACAUAUGACAUGUUUUUAUUUGUGGAGUAUAUAGUGAAGCAGGAAGAGUGGGAUAGAAAAUUUAGACUCGUCGGUACCCCUAAUUUUUUUUGAAUCUAAACCACACAAUUCUAUUGGCUUUAAUCUCGACUGUUUAAUUAAAUUUAAUGGUUACUAGUUGUCGGUAGAACAUGUAAGCAUAUAAAAGCAACCAAAUUUUUUUUGCGUUCCUUCAAUUCUGAUUUCUGAGGUGAUCAAGGAAAGACGAUGUCGAUGCUCUUAAGAGUUGAGACUGCUUCUGCAAACUCCAAGAUGGGCAAGGCAAGGUUGUGUAACAUUGGUGUUUUCUCUGAAGGAAGCCUAUUCAAAUUACCCUGCUGGAACAUGUACUUGCUUGGCAAAAUCAUGUCUGUAUUCCUAGCAAGCUAAUGCCACUAAGAUGAUGUAAAGCAUAUCUUAAAACAUAUAUAAAUAGAUAAAAAUAAACAAUAUAUCCCUAUUAAUCUCACACAUUAAUGUUAAUUAGAAAAAUAUAAACAUCAAGAAAGUGACCUCAACUAUGUUAUUUUAGAGGGCGGUAUGCCCUGAAUGUGAUGUGAGAUAUCAAGGGAGAUACGUAGAAAGUUAAUUGGUAUAUUCAAAGAUUUAUGGAAGAAACCAAGAUAAUUUUGGCU